Molecule: ribosomal RNA, 497 nt
Filed under: uncultured bacterium
Lineage: Bacteria
Description: partial 16S ribosomal RNA
Rfam family: Bacterial small subunit ribosomal RNA
Source: RNAcentral
GACGAACGCUGGCGGCGUGCCUAAUACAUGCAAGUUGAGCGCUGAAGGUUGGUACUUGUACCAAUUUGAUGAGCAGCGAACGGGUGAGUAACGCGUGGGGAAUCUGCCUUUGAGCGGGGGACAACAUUUGGAAACGAAUGCUAAUACCGCAUAAUAACUUUAAACACAAGUUUUAAGUUUGAAAGAUGCAAUUGCAUCACUCAAAGAUGAUCCCGCGUUGUAUUAGCUAGUUGGUGAGGUAAAGGCUCACCAAGGCGAUGAUACAUAGCCGACCUGAGAGGGUGAUAGGCCACAUUGGGACUGAGACACGGCCCAAACUCCUACGGGAGGCAGCAGUAGGGAAUCUUCGGCAAUGGAAGAAAGUCUGACCGAGCAACGCCGCGUGAGGGAAGAAGGUUGUCGGAUCGUAAAACUCUGUUGGUAGAGAAGAACGUUGGUGAGAGUGGAAAGCUCAUCAAGUGACGGUAACUACCCAGAAAGGGACGGCUAACUACGUG